Molecule: long non-coding RNA, 475 nt
Organism: Acanthochromis polyacanthus (spiny chromis)
Lineage: Eukaryota; Metazoa; Chordata; Actinopteri; Pomacentridae
Exons: 3
Source: RefSeq, a predicted model, not a curated record
UUCCCCUCUAAAAGCUUGAAAAUACCGGGUUUGGAAGCCCUGAGGACGCGGUUCCCCUCUAAAAGCUUGAAAAUACCGGGUUUGGAAGCCCUGAGGACGCGGUUCCCCUCUAAAAGCUUGAAAAUACCGGGUUUGGAAGCCCUGAGGACGCGGUUCCCCUCUAAAAGCUUGAAAAUACCGGGUUUGGAAGCCCUGAGGACGCGGUUCCCCUCUAAAAGCUUGAAAAUACCGGGUUUGGAAGCCCUGAGGACGCGGUUCACCUCUAAAAGCUUGAAAAUACCGGGUUUGGAAGCCCUGAGGACGAGGUUCCCCUCUAAAAGCUUGAAAAUACCGGGUUUAGAAGCCCUGAGGACGAGGUUCCCCUCUAAAAGCUUGAAAAUACCGGGUUUGGAAGCCCUGAGGACGCGGUUCCCCUCUAAAAGCUUGAAAAUACCGGGUUUGGAAGCCCUGAGGACGAGGUUCCCCUCUAAAAGCU